This 577-nucleotide ribosomal RNA is filed under the name uncultured bacterium. Its description in RNAcentral is "bacterial SSU rRNA". It matches the Rfam family "Bacterial small subunit ribosomal RNA", at positions 102 to 674 of the family's 1533-position model. The record is from RNAcentral.
ACGGGUGAGUAAUGCUUAGGAAUCUGCCUAUUAGUGGGGGACAACAUCUCGAAAGGGAUGCUAAUACCGCAUACGUCCUACGGGAGAAAGCAGGGGACCUUCGGGCCUUGCGCUAAUAGAUGAGCCUAAGUCGGAUUAGCUAGUUGGUGGGGUAAAGGCCUACCAAGGCGACGAUCUGUAGCGGGUCUGAGAGGAUGAUCCGCCACACUGGGACUGAGACACGGCCCAGACUCCUACGGGAGGCAGCAGUGGGGAAUAUUGGACAAUGGGGGGAACCCUGAUCCAGCCAUGCCGCGUGUGUGAAGAAGGCCUUUUGGUUGUAAAGCACUUUAAGCGAGGAGGAGGCUACCGAGAUUAAUACUCUUGGAUAGUGGACGUUACUCGCAGAAUAAGCACCGGCUAACUCUGUGCCAGCAGCCGCGGUAAUACAGAGGGUGCAAGCGUUAAUCGGAUUUACUGGGCGUAAAGCGCGCGUAGGUGGCCAAUUAAGUCAAAUGUGAAAUCCCCGAGCUUAACUUGGGAAUUGCAUUCGAUACUGAUUGGCUAGAGUAUGGGAGAGGAUGGUAGAAUUCCAGGU